RNAcentral lists this ribosomal RNA (253 nucleotides) under uncultured bacterium. RNAcentral's name for it is "partial 16S ribosomal RNA". It matches the Rfam family "Bacterial small subunit ribosomal RNA", at positions 524 to 776 of the family's 1533-position model. The record is from RNAcentral.
UACGAAGGGGGCUAGCGUUGCUCGGAAUCACUGGGCGUAAAGCGCACGUAGGCGGGUCUUUAAGUCGGAGGUGAAAUCCUGGAGCUCAACUCCAGAACUGCCUUCGAUACUGAGGAUCUCGAGUCCGGGAGAGGUGAGUGGAACUGCGAGUGUAGAGGUGAAAUUCGUAGGUAUUCGCAAGAACACCAGUGGCGAAGGCGGCUCACUGGCCCGGUACUGACGCUGAGGUGCGAAAGCGUGGGGAGCAAAUAGG